GGUCACUUAGUUCAGUUGGUUAGAACGCAUCCUUCACACGGAUGAGGUCGAGAGUUCGAGUCUCCCAGUGACCACCA
RNAcentral lists this transfer RNA (77 nucleotides) under Lentisphaeria bacterium. RNAcentral describes it as "tRNA-Val". It matches the Rfam family "tRNA". From Rfam's summary of the family: Transfer RNA (tRNA) molecules are approximately 80 nucleotides in length. The record is from RNAcentral. Lineage: Bacteria; Pseudomonadati; Lentisphaerota; Lentisphaeria.